UCCAGACUCCUACGGGAGGCAGCAGUGGGGGAUAUUGCACAAUGGGGGGAACCCUGAUGCAGCGACGCCGCGUGGGUGAAGGAGCACCUCGGUGCGUAAAGCCCUAUCGGCAGGGAAGAAACAGACGGUACCUGACUAAGAAGCCCCGGCUAACUACGUGCCAGCAGCCGCGGUAAUACGUAGGGGGCAAGCGUUAUCCGGAUUCACUGGGUGUAAAGGGAGCGUAGACGGCGGCGCAAGUCUGGAGUGAAAGCCCGGGGCCCAACCCCGGGACUGCUCUGGAAACUGUGGCGCUGGAGUACGGGAGGGGGAGGCGGAAUUCCUGGUGUAGCGGUGAAAUGCGUAGAUAUCAGGAGGAACACCGGUGGCGAAGGCGGCCUGCUGGACUGCGACUGACGUUGAGGCCCGAAAGCGUGGGGAGCAAACAGGAUUAGAUACCCUAGUAA
This 446-nucleotide ribosomal RNA is filed under the name uncultured bacterium. RNAcentral describes it as "partial 16S ribosomal RNA". It matches the Rfam family "Bacterial small subunit ribosomal RNA", at positions 330 to 793 of the family's 1533-position model. The record is from RNAcentral.